RNAcentral lists this ribosomal RNA (271 nucleotides) under uncultured fungus. RNAcentral's name for it is "partial 18S ribosomal RNA". The stretch from base 1 to 122 matches the Rfam family "5.8S ribosomal RNA", at positions 32 to 154 of the family's 154-position model. The record is from RNAcentral. Lineage: Eukaryota; Fungi.
AUCGAUGAAGAACGCAGCGAAACGCGAUAUGUAUUGUGAAUUGCAGGUUUUGUGAAUCAUCGAAUCUUUGAACGCACAUUGCGCCCCCUGGCAUUCCGGGGGGCAUGCCUGUUUGAGCGUCAGUGCAUUCUCACUUCUUGUGGUGUUGGAGUUGCCUGCGAAGGCUUCUCUGAAAUGCAUUGGCAUGCGGCUGAACGUAAAGCGGAUAGAUUUCGUGAAGCGGAAGGCGCGUGGGCCAGACAACUUUUAAGUUGACCUCAAAUCAGGUAGA